RNAcentral lists this long non-coding RNA (2212 nucleotides) under Nicotiana benthamiana. RNAcentral's name for it is "long non-coding RNA (NBEN_LNC018522)". The record is from RNAcentral. Lineage: Eukaryota; Viridiplantae; Streptophyta; Magnoliopsida; Solanales; Solanaceae.
UAGACUAAAUAUUUAGCUACUCAUAGCAAAGCAAAACAAAACUAUAGAAGUAUUCAUAAUGUGCAAUUGAAAUAAUAAAGAGAAUGGUUGAUUGAUCUUCUUACACUUGUUCUUGCCUCCGAAUCAAUCUAAAAACAAGCUUAUACCUUGCUUGGGAGAAUUUGUUGAGCCUAUGAAGGGUUGUGAUAAGUUUUUCUCGAUUAACACUUUAGUCCGACGAUUCCUGGGCAAUUACACAGUCCACCGGGGCCAUGGCAAAAUGCAGCUUGACUGCGGUGAGAGAAAAACAUUCUGCCUCGUUCCGAUAGCCUACUGCGUCAAGCCGUGGUCGACCGCGGUCAUGGUACAUUCAAGCUCAAUCCUCUUUGCCUAUUUCUUGUUUAUUUUCACUCGUGUUCUUCUUGAUUGGCUUUUUAUUCACCUUCUUGACUCCAAAACACUCCAUAGGCUCUUCCUAACUUGGAUUAGUCCCUGCGAAGUAAAAGAACACCAAUUAGAGUAUUUUGUUAUCAUUUAGUCUUUAAAACACAAUAAAUCAUGGUACAUUUAGAGUGUAAAUAUCGUCUAUAUAACCUAGUAUCAACACUCCACACUUAAAUCAUUGCUAGUCCUUAAGUAAUCCACCACACUCUACAAAGGGUCCUUGAGUAAGCUUUUCCCCCAACGUAUCACACCAAGAACAACUCACCAAAGUUGCACCUAGUAGUGAACAGUCUUUACCUCAAAAGUCGACUAUCAUGUGCCGUGCAAUAUUCGCACUUACUAAAACUACUCUAUACAGAAGUCAAGACUUAGCUUUCCUUCGUGAAUCACAUACCCUCACAUCACACAAAAGAGUAGUUUCACAAAUAAUAUUAUUAAGAACAAUUAGGAACUCAGAUAGACAAUUCGCUCACUCUCACAAAGGACAUUCACAUGCCACAAUGAUGCACAUAGGCUUGCCGUAGUGUACUACUCUACUUAUCGAGCUUAUUUAGUCUAAGAUCAAUUAGGACUUCACUUGGUUGUAUGUGGGCUAACAGACGGGUAGGAUAUAUUUGGAUAUAGUGAAUAACCUCCCUAAGCACUUUUCAUAUAAUCAUACUAACCUUCAAAACCAUACUUAUGUCAACCACACAUUUUACCUCAUUUUAUUUAUAACAUCCUACUCCAUUAGGUACAAUUUUAUCGAGUCACCACUUAUCAACUACUACAUUUACUCAUUCUCUUUUUCUCUUUUUUUAAGUGGUGCUUAUUUUCUUACUUUUCCAAAAACUGCACAUUUCCUCCAUUUCAUUGGUUCCACUCAAAAACCAAACCACCACCCCCACACUUUAGCAUUUGCAUAUUUUAAGACCAUUCAAGUGCUCAUGGGAGGUAAAAGGGGUUCAAACAGAUCUGCCAUUCAAACAAUUGGGUAAGGUUCGCAAUGUGGUUGCCAAAGAAACAGGCUUACAGGCUCAAUGAGGUUGACUACGGUGUAUUACAUUUAGGUGGGUCUACUUUAUAUACCUGGCUUAACAAAGAAAUAUCUAUAUCACUUCUAAGACACGAUGAGGCUUCUAUUUCGCUUUGCAAACACAUGUGGCAAGUUCUAGGCAUCAAAUGUAAAGCAUAAAAUACAGUACAACUCACACCCAUAUGGCACAUGACUCACUCCAGAUUGGCUUAUCAAGACAUUCUCUUUUAAGUAUUCAAGUCAGUUACAAACAUACAAUUUAAGACAUUUUAGCAAGAGUCAACCACUAAGACUAAGCGGUACACUCUAGUGUCUACUAUGUUCAGGUGUAUCACGCCAAUGGUUUCUCUUUCUAUUUUAGCUCGUAGCCCAUCAAUACUAACUAAAAACUAAAAACAAAUGAACAAAAAAUUACCUACGCCCCGUUCAAGCUAAACCCUUCGAAAAGAACAAUGGCCUAAAGAAAAACCAAGGGGGAGUUACUACACUACCUAAUAAAAUAUUUUUGGUAUUUUCUUUAGACUUACUUCCCUCGAAAAACUAUCUAAAAGAUCUGUCAUCAGGAAAAGUCCCCAUAUUCCUGUUUUUUUGCAUUCGACUUUUAUCCCUCAAGAAACUAGUCGAGAGGUGUCCGUCUUCGGUCCAAUUUGAAGUUAACUAACACGACUAAACAAUACCAAACAAGCAAAAGGAAAACAACACCAUACAACGUUACAAAUUUUACAACAACAGCCACAACGUCAUACAAUUUUUACAACAACAGCCAUCCCCAAC